Ornithodoros turicata is the source of this 596-nucleotide long non-coding RNA. RefSeq lists it as uncharacterized. NCBI's taxonomy places the organism in Eukaryota, Metazoa, Arthropoda, Arachnida, Ixodida, Argasidae. The record is from RefSeq and is a predicted model, not a curated record. The transcript has 3 exons.
UUCUUUCGUUUCGUACUCUGUGCAUCGUACAUAAGCGAACAGCUGUUAUGUUAUUGCUAAGCCGGAAACAAAGCAUGUGAAUAUUUUUUUUUUUGGCAAGGCGUCGUUUGGAAAGUGCACUUCCUUGUUCUGACCUUGCCUUUUAUGGGCUGGAGCGAUAUGCCACGGCGAAGUUGUCGAAGAUGCGACGGUGCUACGUGCUACGCUGUUAGAACAAUUCAUCGGAGCAUUCAAGUGUUACCUUUUAUAAGCUGCUAAAAGACCAAGCAGUGCGAAGCUCUUGGCUGACAGUGGUGCCUGCUAAUUUCCACUGCAAGGAUUUCGUCAACGAAUGUUAUCAUAGGUUAUACGCGCGACUCCAGAGGCAAUUUGGAAUAUCGGCACGAAAUCGUCGGAUGAAAAUCUGAGGUGCCCGACGCACAACAUUUUGAACGUGCCACGGAGGAUCAAGGCAAAAAACGAGAGCAAAAAAGGUGCACGCUGAAGGCGGAAAUGAAGCAUGAUCUGGCUUGCAUCUGGUGCAUGAAGAAAUUGCUGGCACGUUAGUUGCAGUCUACCUCCACCAACAGGGUGGAAAACAAAGGUCGCCAUUCCGA